Molecule: ribosomal RNA, 823 nt
Filed under: Jenufa perforata
Lineage: Eukaryota; Viridiplantae; Chlorophyta; Chlorophyceae
Description: small subunit ribosomal RNA
Rfam family: Bacterial small subunit ribosomal RNA
Source: RNAcentral
AAAGAUUAGAGUUUGAUCCUGGCUCCGCUGAACGCGAGCAUACUUUAUCACACAUGCUAGUAGACAAGAAUAGUUCUUGAUGCGUACAGGUGAGUAGAAAACGAUGUUUUACCCCCUUUUUUUAAAAAAAACUUAGGGAGAAACUCGUUCUGGAUUAGGUAGUUGGUAUGGUAAAAGCACACCAAGCCCAUGAUCCAUAGCCAAGGAAUUUCAGUCCAAGGCCACAAGGGAACUGAGACAAGGUCCUUCCGUUUAUGCGGCAGCAGUGCAGAAUUUUUGACAAUGGGCGACAGCCUGAUCGAGCUUGUAUGCGUGAGCGAUCCCUUUAAAGCGAUGGGAUAUUUAGAAGGCUAAUGAGUCGUAAACCUCAUAUAUUGAAAUUAAUUAUAUAGAAGUUUCUUUCAAAGCAAGUUCAGACUAAAUGAGUGCCAGCGGUAGCGGUAAAACUCAUUGAGCUAGCGUUCUGCGUAUUUACUAGGCUUAAAGCGCUCUUAGGUUGUACUACAGUACUUUUAAUCAUCUUUAGGAAGGUAGAACGAGCAAAGGAUCGGUGAAAUGAGUUGAUAUUGCUCAGAAUGCCAUAGGCGAAGGCGACCUUCUGAAAAUGGAUUAAAGCUGACGAGCGGAAGCGUGGGGAUCAAAUGGGAUUAGGUACCCCUGUAGUCCACGCCGUCAACUAUGCGUGAAAAACGAGAAAUCAAGAUCACGCCGCCUGGAUAGUACGGCCGCAAGGUUAAAACUCAAAGGAUUUGCCAGUCUUAGCAAUCGGCGCUGGAACAUGCUAUUUAAUUCGAUACAACGCGAAAAACCUUACCACUUUGUG